Long non-coding RNA from Thunnus maccoyii (southern bluefin tuna), 932 nucleotides. RefSeq lists it as uncharacterized. Lineage: Eukaryota; Metazoa; Chordata; Actinopteri; Scombriformes; Scombridae. The record is from RefSeq and is a predicted model, not a curated record. The transcript has 3 exons.
GUAGACACGACAACGGACCCUCAGGUGUCCCCGUAGACGUGAUAUCGGACCCUCAGGUGUCCCCGUAGACGUGAUAUCGGACCCUCAAGUGUCCCCGUAGAGACGGUAACGGACCCUCAGGUGUCCCCGUAGACGUGAUAUCGGACCCUCAAGUGUCCCCGUAGACGUGAUAUCGGACCCUCAAGUGUCCCCGUAGAGACGAUGUCGGACCCUCAAGUGUCCCCGUAGAGACGAUGUUGGACCCUCAGGUGUCCGUAGAGACGAUGUCGGACCCUCAGGCGUCCCCAUGGAGACGAUGUCGGACCCUCAGGCGUCCCCGUAGACACGACAACGGACCCUCAGGUGUCCCCGUAGACGUGAUAUCGGACCCUCAAGUGUCCCCGUAGAGACGAUGUCGGACCCUCAAGUGUCCCCGUAGAGACGACAACGGACCCUCAGGUGUCCCCGUAGAGACGAUGUCGGACCCUCAGGCGUCCCCAUGGAGACGAUGUCGGACCCUCAGGCGUCCGUAGAGACGAUGUCGGACCCUCAGGCGUCCGUAGAGACGCUGUCGGACCCUCAGGCGUCCGUAGAGACGAUGUCGGACCCUCAGGUGUCCCCGUAGAGACGAUGUCGGACCCUCAGGCGUCCCCAUGGAGACGAUGUCGGACCCUCAGGCGUCCCCGUAGAGACGAUGUCGGACCCUCAGGUGUCCGUAGAGACGAUGUCGGACCCUCAGGCGUCCCCAUGGAGACGAUGUCGGACCCUCAGGCGUCCCCGUAGAGACGCUACAGUGACGUGGAUGGUUCUUCCUCCUUCACAGAGGUCAGAGGUCAGCCUGCAGCGAAGGUGGCAGCCAUGUUCAAGGUUAACACGGAGUUAAUGGAGUCUGUAGAGCAGCAGAGGAAUGAGGAGACCUGCUGAGUCAGCUGGGGGGAGGAGGAGGAGGAGGA